This 434-nucleotide ribosomal RNA is filed under the name uncultured Coprococcus sp. RNAcentral's name for it is "partial 16S ribosomal RNA". It matches the Rfam family "Bacterial small subunit ribosomal RNA", at positions 341 to 792 of the family's 1533-position model. Lineage: Bacteria; Bacillati; Bacillota; Clostridia; Lachnospirales; Lachnospiraceae. The record is from RNAcentral.
ACGGGAGGCAGCAGUGGGGAAUAUUGCACAAUGGGGGAAACCCUGAUGCAGCGACGCCGCGUGAGCGAAGAAGUAUUUCGGUAUGUAAAGCUCUAUCAGCAGGGAAGAAAAUGACGGUACCUGACUAAGAAGCUCCGGCUAAAUACGUGCCAGCAGCCGCGGUAAUACGUAUGGAGCAAGCGUUAUCCGGAUUUACUGGGUGUAAAGGGAGCGUAGACGGUAUGGUAAGUCUGAAGUGAAAGCUCGGGGCUCAACUUCGGAAUUGCUUUGGAAACUAUCAUACUAGAGUGCAGGAGAGGCAAGUGGAAUUCCUAGUGUAGCGGUGAAAUGCGUAGAUAUUAGGAAGAACACCGGUGGCGAAGGCGGCUUGCUGGACUGGAACUGACGCUGAGGCACGAAAGCGUGGGGAGCAAACAGGAUUAGAUACCCUGGUA